AUCCGGAUGGCGAGUCCCAAAUAAGACGAAAUGCGCAUCCUGGAU
This 45-nucleotide non-coding RNA is filed under the name Trichobilharzia regenti. The record is from RNAcentral. Lineage: Eukaryota; Metazoa; Platyhelminthes; Trematoda; Strigeidida; Schistosomatidae.